This 75-nucleotide transfer RNA is filed under the name Cricetulus griseus (Chinese hamster). It matches the Rfam family "tRNA". From Rfam's summary of the family: Transfer RNA (tRNA) molecules are approximately 80 nucleotides in length. The record is from Rfam by way of RNAcentral. Lineage: Eukaryota; Metazoa; Chordata; Mammalia; Rodentia; Cricetidae.
GGAGGUGUAGUUCAAUGGCAGAACACAUGCCUGUUACCACGUGUUAAGGCCUGGGUUCAAACUCCAGAACCUCCC